CCCACUGGGGAGGAGAACCCCGGGAACUGGGACUAAUACCCGAUAGGCGAAGAUUCCUGGAACGGGUCUUCACUCAAAAGGUGUUAGGAUCAUGCUUCUUAACAUCGCCCGAGGACGGGGCCGCGACCGAUCAGGUAGUUGGCGAGGCAACGGCUCACCAAGCCUAUAACCGGUACGGGCCGUGGGAGCGGGAGCCCGGAGAUGGGCACUGAGACAAGGGCCCAGGCCCUACGGGGCGCAGCAGUUGCGAAAACUUGUCAAUGCACGAAAGUGUGAACGGGCUACCCCGAGUGCCGUCCGCUGAGGAUGGCUUUUCUCUGCUGUAAGAAGGCGGAGGAAUAAGGAGAGGGCAAGUCUGGUGUCAGCCGCCGCGGUAAUACCAGCUCUCCGAGUGGUAGGGAUGAUUAUUGGGCUUAAAGCGUCCGUAGCCGGCCUCUCAAGUCUUUCGUUAAAUCCAGCGACUAAUCGUUGGACUGCGGGAGAUACUGUUAGGCUAGGGGGCGGGAGAAGCCGACGGUAUUCUUGGGGUAGGGGUAAAAUCCUAUAAUCCCAGGAAGACCACCAGUGGCGUAGGCGGUCGGCUAGCACGCGCUCGACGGUGAGGGACGAAAGCUGGGGGAGCGAACCGGAUUAGAUACCCGGGUAGUCCCAGCUGUAAACGAUGCGGGCUAGGUGUUGGAGCGGCUACGAGCCGCUUCAGUGCCGCAGGGAAGCCAUUAAGCCCGCCGCCUGGGGAGUACGGCCGCAAGGCUGAAACUUAAAGGAAUUGGCGGGGGAGCAC
RNAcentral lists this ribosomal RNA (781 nucleotides) under uncultured archaeon. RNAcentral describes it as "bacterial SSU rRNA". It matches the Rfam family "Archaeal small subunit ribosomal RNA", at positions 112 to 879 of the family's 1478-position model. The record is from RNAcentral.